GUCAGAAUGGCCGAGUGGUCUAAGGCGCCAGACUCAAGUUCUGGUCUCCAGCUGGAGGCGUGGGUUCAAAUCCCACUUCUGACA
Molecule: transfer RNA, 84 nt
Filed under: Danio rerio (zebrafish)
Lineage: Eukaryota; Metazoa; Chordata; Actinopteri; Cypriniformes; Danionidae
Description: tRNA-Leu (CAA) (tRNA-Leu-CAA-16 1 to 42)
Rfam family: tRNA
About the family: Transfer RNA (tRNA) molecules are approximately 80 nucleotides in length.
Source: RNAcentral